ACGUUUGUGCUUGCUACACUUGAGAGAGAGUUCCAAAGCAAUUGACCUGGCUUUGCCGGUUGGUGUGAGUAGGCUCUCUGUCAAAACCCUUGUCUUUUUGCGCACUCUUGUUUCCUCGGCGGGUCCGCCCGCCGGUUGGACAAAAAUUACACCCUUUUUCAGUUUUCAAUCAGCGUCUAAAUGAAUUAUAAUAAUUACAACUUUCAACAACGGAUCUCUUGGUUCUGGCAUCGAUGAAGAACGCAGCGAAAUGCGAUAAGUAGUGUGAAUUGCAGAAUUCAGUGAAUCAUCGAAUCUUUGAACGCACAUUGCGCCCCUUGGUAUUCCAUGGGGCAUGCCUGUUCGAGCGUCAUUUGUACUCUCAAGCUAUGCUUGGUGUUGGGUGUUUGUCCUUUCUUUUAUGCCUGGACUCGCCUUAAAUCAAUUGGCAGCCGGUAUAUUGGUCUCAAGCGCAGCACAAUGCUUGCUUGUAGCCGAUUGUAUCAGCCCCCAGUAAGCAAAUUAACACGCUUGACCUCGGAUCAGGUAGGGAUACCCGCUGAACUUAAGCAUAUCAAAA
RNAcentral lists this ribosomal RNA (559 nucleotides) under fungal sp. pp2 PL-2010. Its description in RNAcentral is "eukaryotic LSU rRNA". The stretch from base 199 to 352 matches the Rfam family "5.8S ribosomal RNA". Lineage: Eukaryota; Fungi. The record is from RNAcentral.